This 1065-nucleotide long non-coding RNA is filed under the name Homo sapiens (human). RNAcentral's name for it is "non-protein coding lnc-C9orf66-15:8". Lineage: Eukaryota; Metazoa; Chordata; Mammalia; Primates; Hominidae. The record is from RNAcentral.
ACUGCUGCCCUUCGCCGCCGCCCCCGGCAGUGCUCGCUCUCUCUAGGCCCCAUGUAAAUCGCUGUGUUUGCUGGGGAGCCCUUAGUUCAAUUCUCAGGGGAUUAGGGCCAUUGAGAUUCUUAAUCAAUUGCUGGGUUCCACGCGAUCCUCUUUAGAAACUUUUUGCUUAAUAUGCAUCUAGAGACAUGCACGGCCCGCCUGCAGCGCUGGAGCCGAUGGAGUGGAGCCUGGGAGGCUGCAGGCGACCCCCAGGCUUCUAAACAGCAACGUCAGUUUAAUUAUUGCAGAUCCGUCACAGCUGCCAAGUCCUCUCUGUCUUCGUUGUUGUUAACGGGGAAACUUGCCGCCCGGUGGCUUUGCUUCAGGCGGAAGUCCGCGUGCUUUGAUACCCUCAGGGGGCACUUACAGGCUAGGUGGACACAGGGCUAGGGGUAAGAAUGCAGCAGUGAACAUGGUUCCUGCACUCAUGAAGCAAAUGUAUCCACUGUGGUACAAAAGAGACUGUAAAAAACAAACCCAAAUGGACAACAGGAAAAGACAGAAGCUGAUUGAGGUCCCAGCUUGGUAACAGUUUGAAGAGUUGCAGGACUGGCUGGAUGAGUACUGGCUGCAGCAAAUCAGGCUGCCAGGAUUCUUUAUGGCUGUUUCUGCUUCCACUACAGCUGAGUCAGAAAGGUCGCUGCCCCGUGGUGGCACUAGACGCAGUGGACCUGGCAAGCAAAUGUUUCCGCUAUUAGCUCUCAGCAACAGAGACUCAUUUAUGGUCACCUUGGAAAUCUGGGCUUAUCGAUCUACAGCCCAAGUCUGCUGAGAAGCUGGAGCUUACUAAAGGGGAAACCUGAGAGCUGUUCAAGCCCCAAAUAUUUUCCACUUCUGCGUCACCUCUGCUGUCUGUUAGCAGAGUGGAGGAGAAAAUACACAGCACAAACAACGUGAAAAAAUAGUUACUCUAUUCAUUAAAAGCUGUAACUUCCAGAUUGGACUUGAGAAGCAAUUAAGCAACAGAGGAACCUCAUCUACUAUCUGUAUUCAGGCAUGCUCAUGAGAACACGCUGCUCCAGCUGG